AUUGAACGCUGGCGGCAGGCCUAACACAUGCAAGUCGAGCGGAUGAAGGGAGCUUGCUCCUGGAUUCAGCGGCGGACGGGUGAGUAAUGCCUAGGAAUCUGCCUGGUAGUGGGGGAUAACGUCCGGAAACGGGCGCUAAUACCGCAUACGUCCUGAGGGAGAAAGUGGGGGAUCUUCGGACCUCACGCUAUCAGAUGAGCCUAGGUCGGAUUAGCUAGUUGGUGGGGUAAAGGCCUACCAAGGCGACGAUCCGUAACUGGUCUGAGAGGAUGAUCAGUCACACUGGAACUGAGACACGGUCCAGACUCCUACGGGAGGCAGCAGUGGGGAAUAAUGGACAAUGGGCGGAAGCCUGAUCCAGCCAUGCCGCGUGUGUGAAGAAGGUCUUCGGAUUGUAAAGCACUUUAAGUUGGGAGGAAGGGCAGUAAGUUAAUACCUUGCUGUUUUGACGUUACCAACAGAAUAAGCACCGGCUAACUUCGUG
Molecule: ribosomal RNA, 484 nt
Filed under: uncultured bacterium
Lineage: Bacteria
Description: partial 16S ribosomal RNA
Rfam family: Bacterial small subunit ribosomal RNA
Source: RNAcentral